UCCCUGGUGGUCCAGUGGUUAGGAUCCCACACUUACAUUGCCCAGGGCACAGGUUCAAGCCCUGGUCAGGGAA
RNAcentral lists this transfer RNA (73 nucleotides) under Capra hircus (goat). It matches the Rfam family "tRNA". From Rfam's summary of the family: Transfer RNA (tRNA) molecules are approximately 80 nucleotides in length. RNAcentral also lists the same sequence under 1 other name. Lineage: Eukaryota; Metazoa; Chordata; Mammalia; Artiodactyla; Bovidae. The record is from Rfam by way of RNAcentral.